CGAGUCCGAGUCUCCACGGAGACGAAGUGGCGGUCAUCCAGCUUCCUAGAAAAGCUCUAACCACGUUAAUCUUUAGUUGCCUGUACCCGAAACCGACACAGGUAGGGGGGUAGAGAAUACCAAGGGGCGCGAGAUAACUCUCUCUAAGGAACUCGGCAAAAUGACCCCGUAACUUCGGGAGAAGGGGUACCACUGAGAAGUGGUCGCAGUGAAGAGGCCCAGGCGACUGUUUACCAAAAACACAGGUCUCCGCCAAGUCGCAAGACGAAGUAUGGGGGCUGACGCCUGCCCAGUGCCGGAAGGUUAAGGAAGUGGGUUAGGGAUUCGUCCCGAAGCUGACGACUGAAGCCCCGGUGAACGGCGGCCGUAACUAUAACGGUCCUAAGGUAGCGAAAUUCCUUGUCGGGUAAGUUCCGACCCGCACGAAAGGCGUAACGAUCUGGGCGCUGUCUCGGAGAGAGGCUCGGCGAAAUAGGAAUGUCUGUGAAGAUACGGACUACCUGCACCUGGACAGAAAGACCCUAUGAAGCUUUACUGUAGCUUGGAAUUGGGUUCGGGCUUGGUUUGCGCAGGAUAGGUGGAGGCGAAGAAGAUUUGCUUGUGGGUGAAUCUGAGCCAACGGUGAGAUACCACUCUAACCAGGCUAGAAUUCUAACUUAACCCGUCAACCGGGGGAAGGACAGUUUCAGGUGGGCAGUUUGACUGGGGCGGUCGCCUCCUAAAAGAUAACGGAGGCGCACAAAGGUUCCCUCAGGCUGGUUGGAAAUCAGCCAACGAGUGCAAAGGCAGAAGGGAGCUUGACUGCGAGACCUACAAGUCAAGCAGGGUGGAAACACGGUCUUAGUGAUCCGACGGCACCGAGUGGAAGGGCCGUCGCUCAACGGAUAAAAGUUACUCUAAGGAUAACAGGCUGAUCUCCCCCAAGAGUUCACAUCGACGGGGAGGUUUGGCACCUCGAUGUCGGCUCAUCGCAACCUGGGGCGGAAGUACGUCCCAAGGGUUGGGCUGUUCGCCCAUUAAAGCGGUACGUGAGCUGGGUUCAGAACGUCGUGAGACAGUUCGGUCCAUAUCCGGUGUAGGCGCAAGAACAUUGAGAGGAGUCUUCCUUAGUACGAGAGGACCGGGAAGAACGCACCGCUGGUGUACCUGUUAUCGUGCCAACGGUAAACGCAGGGUAGCCAAGUGCGGAGUGGAUAACCGCUGAAAGCAUCUAAGUGGGAAGCCCACCUCAAGAUGAGUGUUCUCAUGGAGUAAUCCAGUAAGGUCACGGGAAGACGACCCGUUGAUAGGCGGUAGGUGGAAGUUCAGCAAUGGAUGAAGCCGAGCCGUACUAGCAGACCGAGGGCUUGAC
Molecule: ribosomal RNA, 1351 nt
Filed under: metagenome
Description: bacterial LSU rRNA
Rfam family: Bacterial large subunit ribosomal RNA
Source: RNAcentral